Molecule: ribosomal RNA, 460 nt
Filed under: uncultured bacterium
Lineage: Bacteria
Description: partial 16S ribosomal RNA
Rfam family: Bacterial small subunit ribosomal RNA
Source: RNAcentral
CCUACGGGAGGCAGCAGUGAGGAAUAUUGGGCAAUGGACGAGAGUCUGAACCAGCCAAGUAGCGUGAAGGAUGACUGCCCUAUGGGUUGUAAACUUCUUUUAUAUGGGAAUAAAAUGUUCCACGUGUGGGAUUUUGUAUGUACCAUAUGAAUAAGGAUCGGCUAACUCCGUGCCAGCAGCCGCGGUAAUACGGAGGAUCCGAGCGUUAUCCGGAUUUAUUGGGUUUAAAGGGAGCGUAGGUGGAUUGUUAAGUCAGUUGUGAAAGUUUGCGGCUGAACCGUAAAAUUGCAGUUGAAACUGGCAGUCGUGAGUACAGUAGAGGUGGGCGGAAUUCGUGGUGUAGCGGUGAAAUGCUUAGAUAUCACGAAGAACUCCGAUGGCGAAGGCAGCUACCUGGACUGCAACUGACACUGAGGCUCGAAAGUGUGGGUAUCAAACAGGAUUAGAUACCCCAGUAGUC